RNAcentral lists this unclassified non-coding RNA (5672 nucleotides) under Nilaparvata lugens (brown planthopper). Its description in RNAcentral is "phenoloxidase-activating factor 1, transcript variant X1". Lineage: Eukaryota; Metazoa; Arthropoda; Insecta; Hemiptera; Delphacidae. The record is from RNAcentral.
UUAGUGCAGCCACACAUUUUCAAGUGCAACUUGCCGCAAAACUGGUUCGUCUCUCGUCGAGUAUAUGUUGAUCUUUACUCAGAACUCAGUUGUGUGGUGCGGUUCUUACUCAACUGAUCGCUGCACGAUCUUAUCUGAAUCUCCAUCAAAUCAUACGUUUGUUCAAUGCGCGCAUGAAGCUCCAAAUCAGUGCGCGCAAAAAAACGUGAACCAUCCAUAGGCGCCACUCAUGAUUACGAUUGUGGACUACAAUUUACGCGGUUCUCCGCGAUUAUUCUCUAGUGUGACUACUCCAAAACUUGUAAAGUUUAUGACGUUAAAUUUUCUAGAAUAACUUGUUUUCAACGUUAAAUUCUCUACAGUUACUUAUUUUUGUAGUUAGAUUCUCUAGAAUCUAGAGUUUUCAGCGUUAGCUGCUGGUGUUUUUGUGCACAGGUAGAACACAAGGUAAAGUUUUUGACGUUAGAUUCUCUAGUGUGACUUGUUCUCGACAAUAUAGAUUCUCCAGAGUGACUUAUUUUUGUACGGUAGUUAGAUUCUAAGGAAUAUAGAGUUUUUAGCGUUAGCUGGUGCUUUUGUGCACUAUAUUAGAGAACCUGUAAAGUUUUUGAGUUAGUUUUUUUAGUGUGACUUGUUUUCAACGUUAUCAUUCUCCUGAGGACUUGUUUUUGAAGUUGGAAUCUCUGAAAUCUAGAGUUUUUGGCGUGAGUGUAUAUGUUUUUGUGCAAAAUCAACGCAAUGAUCUUCUCGUUUGAACUUGUUUUGUUGAGUCUGUUCAUCCUUGUCUCACACAUCACCACCAAUGCGGCCAGAACAGGUGCAACAUGCAACUCAAACUCGGGCGCAGGCACAUGCAAGCCAAUUGCCCAGUGCAGCCAACUUCCCCGCAUGAGAGCUAGCGGCAAGAGCCCUGUCAUGUGUGGCUUUGACCACACUGGUCCCAUUGUCUGCUGUCCAAGGGUCUUCAGCCCUAGACCCUUUCCUCGACAACCCUUCACCCCCAACAGCAAUCGACCCUUUUUCGAUUUCGACCUCAACGACGAACCCUUCAACACGGCAGAUGACAACAGGAAGCAGACAAAUCUGAUCUACGACAAUCCAGCAAAUAGCUACGACACUCCAGCACUUAUCACUGAUCCCGAGUCUAAUGGUUGGGGUGGUGUGGGCAGGGCUCAGAUGCGGCCCCAAAUUUGGGGCCAGGAGACGACCAGGCGUCCCUCGCUGCACGAGAAACCGGUACAGAACACCUGGCGGCCCCAGAACGGAGCCAAUAUCGGGGAGUCCUCUUUCUCAAACGUUCCGGUGCAGUCGCAGUUCCCAGAUUUGGCGCCUGAUAGUUGGAGCUCUGUCAACAACAACAACAACAAUAAUUUUAACAACAACAACAAUCGAAGACCCCCAUCCAACAACAAUAGCAACAACAAUCGAAGACCCCCAACAAACUCAGGAUCCGGUCUUCGUAGAACGACCACAACUGAAGAGCCGUUCAUCUGGAGUUCAGCGCCUAAGAAAAACAACACCAGAAAUAAACAGGGUGAUAGCGGCUAUGGAAAACCUCGUAUUAGCAGUAUUGUAUGUGAGGAGUACAAGAGAAUGCUGACAAAUGCCCAAUGCUCUGGCCCUCUUCAACUAAUCGUGGGGGGAAGUGAUGCUGAAACUGCCGAAUUUCCACACAUGGUGGCACUUGGCUACAGUAAUCCGACAGAAAUAUCGUGGAACUGUGGAGGCAGCCUUAUAAGCAAGGACUAUGUUCUAACGGCGGCUCACUGCGUCACUCCAAGCAGGAGACCAGUAAAAGUGCGCAUGGGCACACUAAACCUGAACCGGCCUGACGCGACCUAUCAGGACGUAGACGUGAAACGCACGAUCAACCACCCGCGCUGGAGCGACAAAAAGUACUUCGACAUUGCGCUCUUGGAGCUCAGUUGGCCCGUACACUUCACUGCGCAUGCGCAUCCCGCCUGUCUUGCGCAGCCCGAUGAUGACGUCACCAGAGCCACCGCUACUGGGUGGGGCAAGCGCAAUAUAAUUGAACAAUCCGCGACAGAUAAACUUCAAAAAGUUGACAUCAAUGUGAUCAGCAAUGAAGAGUGUCGAAGGAUUUUCAGGAAUCCCGCUUUGACCCAGGGCAUAGUCGACGAAAUGGUUUGUGCAGGGGGAAAUGGCCGGGAUACUUGUCUGGGUGACUCAGGAGGACCCCUGCAGUUCACCAGAGACAGCAACAGAUGUGUGUACCACGUGUACGGGUUGACCUCUUUCGGAGGCAAUGACUGCGGUGAGAUGGGAGUGUACACCAAGGUGUCAUCCUAUCUCAACUGGAUCGAAAAAAUUGUGUGGCCCGAAUAUUUCGACGAAUAUUAACGUUGAUAACUCUUCAAACAAAAUCAGAUAUUGUCCUUAAAAUGUAUGAACUCAGGGCUACUCUCUUUUAUUUAUAGAAUAGAAUUUUUGUAUCCUUUGAAAUUAAUUGAAUAAAUACAUAUUUAUUAAAUAUAUUUUUUUGCAUUCUUAAGGUGCGUACAGACUUUCGCUCUGCUCCGCAAUUGAACGUCACUCUAGCAGAUCGAUUGAUGAUCGACCGGGGAGCAAGAGUGGAAUGCGAGAAGAGCGUGCAACAGAGGUCGCGCUUGUCAAGCUCCUAGGUUGCGGAGCGUGCGUGGGGCGAUUGCGGAGCGAGUGCGGAGCGUGUUGGAGGCGCGUAUAUAUGUACGCACCUUUAAGCUCAACUCACACUUACGCGAUUCAGAUCGAGAAGCGACUCGACUCUAGUGGAGAGCAUGUGUUUCCAAGAUGGUGACACUCAGACCUGUCGAUUCUAGUCUCCGCGCGACGUCAGAGUCGAGUCUUUUCUCGACCUGAGUCGUGUAGGUGUGAGUUGGGCCUUAAUCUAUUAUUUUAUUAAUUUAAAAGGGUACUAUAAUUAUAUUUUAUACGAUAUAAUUAUAUUUUAUACGAAUUAUAUACGAUAGUUGUCAUGCUCUUGUUUGUGUAUUAGUAUGGGUUUAGGUUAUGAUCUGUAGUGCACAAAUGUUGUAUGUCCUAAACCUAACCUUAAAUUGCAAAUGAAUGUUGGACAUACUAUAUGAGUGCACAUAUACAAGAGAGAGUAGACCUAGUAUUUUCAUACACAAUCAUUACAUGUCCAAUCUACAAUAUCUGUGCUCUGAAGGUAUUCUUCUCUGUUCAGCUGGUACUGCAAUUAUUGGACAUGCUACGAGUGUGCAGAGUGAAAUUAGAUCAUAUCGAACUGUGCACUUUUUCCUUUGAUGAUUUUUAAUGUAUUUUUCCUAUUGUAAAAUGGACAUACAAUAUAUAUGAUCUGAAAGAUGAAGUUCUCAGCUUUCCAAAUAUAUAAAAAUGUCGGAAUCAACAAAAAGUGGACAUACAGUGUUUGUGCUUAUAACCGACGAUAUGCUACUCCUACUGGCGAACAAGUGAUUUUCACUUAUGCCAGUGGUUUCAUUUCCACCUCUUGUACCUUUAUUUUGUUGAUAGAAUGUAAGUAAACUAGAUUAAGGUACAUUAUCCUAAAUUUUGUAAUUGUUGAAUUUUGUGGAGGAAAUAAAUUUGAUUUGAAUUUGAAUUGAAUUUUAUAAACAGGUAUUGUCCUACCUGAUCGAAAAAGUAAAGUGGCCCAAGUAUUUUGAGUCUCUGACGAGUAUUAACUUGAAUAAUCGCGUCAUUAUUUGAAGAAAAUCAGGAGUUUUCGUUAGUUUAAACUCUGUAAUCGAGUGGUUAUCUGUCAUGACUCUCUCAGGGUACGAACAGAACGGUCAGCUCGAUAUUCAUCUUUCAGUGUAAGUCACAUUCAGGAUUGACCUUCAUGUAAAACAAACAAAUUGUGAAGCAUAUGAACCAAUAUACCUAGAAUAAUUUCAAGGUAUUUCAUACAUUGUCAUAUCAAUUUUAUGACAAUGCACCUAGGAUACUUUCAAGGUAUUAUAUGAAUGAGUAAUAGUUAGAGUUAGAUUUAGAGUUGAAGGUACAUGUUAGAUUUUUUUAUAUAGAGUUAGAGUUAGAAAUUUUAAAGAAAUUUCUAAUUUUCAUGAAAAAGUGAAUUCGAUACUUACUCGAAUUUAACUGAUAUCACCCUUGAAUUAUUAUCAAGAAUAUAAAAUAAUAACCUCACUAGAGGUUUUUAGAUUUAGUAUAAAUAUUGGGAAGCAAAUUAACCAAUGUACCUAGAAUACUUUCAAGGUAUUAUAUGAAAAUAUAUUAGUUUUUUUUAAAUAAUUUCAUAAUUUUUAUGGAACAGUGAAUCCUUACUCGAAUUUAACUGAUAUCACCCUUGAAUUAUUAUCAAGAAUAUAAAAUAAUAACCUCACUAGAGAUUUUAAGAUUUAGUAUAGCCUAAAUAUUGUGAAGCAAAUUAACCAAUGUAACUAGAAUACUUUCAAGGUAUUAUAUAAAAAUAUAUUAGAGUUUUUUUUAAGAAUUCCAUAAUUUUCAUAAAAAAAUGAAUACCUUACUCGAAUUAAACUGAUAUCAUCCUUGAAUUGUUAUCAAGUAUAUAAAAUAAUAACCUCACUAGAGGUUUUAAGAUUUAGUAUAGCCUAAAUAUUGUGAAGCAAAUUAACCAAUGUACCUAGAAUACUUUCAAGGUAUUAUAUAAAAAUAUAUUGGAGUUUUUUAAAGAAUUUCAUAAUUUUUAUGAAAAAGUGAAUUCCUUACUCGAAUUUAACUGAUAUCAUCCUUGAAUUGUUAUCAAGAAUAUAAAGUAAUAGCCACAUUUAAGGUUUUUAGAUUUAGUUUAGGUUCUGUUCUUAAUGUGAUCAAUAUAAUAGUCCAGUCAAAUGGUCGUUUUUCAGGAAACAGCCCCGAAAGAAUUUUUCUCGACGUUUUUAUAUGUAUUUUGGGGCGCUGAAUUCGAAUCUGAAAUUUGCUGACACGCCAGAGGGCGGCUUCACCCCCAAAACCCCCAAAAUUUAGGACUUUUUUCAAUUUUCCCAUUUUAUCUCGUAAACCUUGAGUUUCUCAAGAAAAAUCAUUCUCGACAAAAUUAAAAAGAAUAACAUUUUCGAUAAAUUGAGUGGUCGCGCCGGAUUCUACCAUUUUUGGUUCCGGAGCUACGAAUUUUCAAAAAAGGGUAUUUUUCAAGGGGUUUUCAAAAUUAUGCAAACCUACCACUUCUACCCUAUACAACUUUGAUAUUUUUCCAGUAUAGAUAAAAAACCACACAUCACGUGAAAGAAAAAUUUAUUCAUUAUGAACAAAAUUCCUUAGGAAUUUCCGAAUUUAGUAGUGGGGGGAGGGGGAAUACAUCCAAAAAUAGAAAAUCAUGUCCUACAGCCAAAAUACAAAGAACAAAAUUAUUUCUGAAUUAAUCAUUUUUAUGAAAAAGUGAAUUCCUUACUCUAAUUUAACUGAUAUCAUUCUUGAAUUAUUAUCAAGAAUAUAAAAUAAUAACCACAUUACAGGUUUUUAGAUUUAGUUUAGGAUCUUUUUCUGAUGUGUUCAAUAAGAACAAAGGUAUUUCUGAAUGACUCGAUUCAGUUUAAGUGACUAUAGUGAACAUUAAAUCUAAAUCAGUAGCAGGUAACAAAUUGUUCUAAAAUUAAAUUGAUCGUUUUUAUUCUAUUCAUCAUUUGAAUUUGCACUCAUGUUUUGAGUCGUUUCAAGUAAUAAAUUAACUAGAAUUAUAUUAUUAGUGUAUUCUUAUAAAACUUUAAAGU